GCAGGAUUUCCUUUUCCUUCGGAUCGUUUGGUCAUCUCGUUCCCUGCUCUUUUGCAUGUCCCCUACCUUUGUUCGUCUAAUCGUGUUCAAGAUCUGAACUCUACCUCCUGACAACCGACGCGAUGACCGCGGCAGGGAUCUGUUUUCAGGUGAUCAAAUCAUUGCGCACACAUAGCUAAAUUAGACUACAGAGAGAAGCACCGUCAUAUCGGGUUUAGGUAGAAAGUAUCCAUCCGGAUGUGAUAAAAGAAAACGUAAGGAGGUACUAGAUGAGAUGAAAGCAUCAUUGAGAGAGGAUCCUUAAUACCAGAAGACAAUGUUGACGUCAACAUGGAUGAUAUCAAUAGGUGGAAGAAAUCUUUUGAGGCCAAACCGCAGGGAGGACGACGGUCAACAAUGGGUACAGGUUCUCAAGGUCCCAGGGAACUAGGUACAGGUGCGGCUGCGUGCUCGUGGCGCAUCCAAAGUACAGCAGCGGCGCCAAAGCUGCCACUUUCUCCCUAUCCGUAAAUGUUUGAUAUGGCCAGCGGCAACAUGAUUUGUUUCUAUAUAAUCAUCUCAACACAAUAGGGAACUCACUAUAUUCGGAUUGCUUUUCUUUCUGUCCAUCAUUGGAUUUCACUAUGGUCUUAAUCAGGUCCAAUUUUAUCAUUUUGUGUUGUUUUCAUGAACAUCUCAGAUCUCAUAAUACUGUAUGCAUCAUUGUCGGGCGGCUUGUUAUUCCUCUUCUUUUUUCACAUGAUUGUACUUUAUGAAUGACUAGUUAACUGACUGGACCCUUUUGCAUUGACUAGCAUUUUUUUACCAACCUAU
Triticum aestivum (bread wheat) is the source of this 813-nucleotide long non-coding RNA. RefSeq lists it as uncharacterized. The transcript has 4 exons. The record is from RefSeq and is a predicted model, not a curated record. Lineage: Eukaryota; Viridiplantae; Streptophyta; Magnoliopsida; Poales; Poaceae.